This 492-nucleotide ribosomal RNA is filed under the name uncultured bacterium. Its description in RNAcentral is "bacterial SSU rRNA". It matches the Rfam family "Bacterial small subunit ribosomal RNA", at positions 30 to 504 of the family's 1533-position model. The record is from RNAcentral.
CGAACGCUGGCGGCGUGCUUAACACAUGCAAGUCUAAGGAGAAAGCAGUCUUCGGAUUGUUAUUAAACUGGCGGACGGGUGAGUAACGCGUAGACAACCUACCCAGGGGACUGGGAUAACCUUGCGAAAGCGGGGCUAAUACCGGAUGAUGCCUGUUGAACCUCGGUUUAAUAGGUUAAAGGUGGCUUCGGCUACCACCUGUGGAUGGGUCUGCGUCUGAUUAGCUAGUUGGUAGGGUAAAAGCCUACCAAGGCAACGAUCAGUAGCUGGUCUGAGAGGAUGAUCAGCCACACUGGGACUGAGAUACGGCCCAGACUCCUACGGGAGGCAGCAGUGGGGAAUAUUGCGCAAUGGGCGAAAGCCUGACGCAGCAACGCCGCGUGAUCGAUGACGCUUUAAGGAGUGUAAAGAUCUGUCCUAAGGGAAGAAUAGUUCCAAGUCUAAUAGGCUUGGUUCAUGACGGUACCUUAGAAGAAAGCGCCGGCUAACUUC